CCCUAUGGGGUGCAGCAGUCGCGAAAACUCCGCAAUACACGAAAGUGUGACGGGGCCAUCCCGAGUGCCAUCCGCUGAGGAUGGCUUUUCUCUAGUGUAUAAAGCUGGGGGAAUAAGGAGAGGGCAAGCCUGGUGUCAGCCGCCGCGGUAAUACCAGCUCUCCGAGUGGUGGGGAUGCUUAUUGGGCCUAAAGCAUUCGUAGCUUGCUUGGCAAGUCCUCCGUUAAAUCCAACGAUUCAAUCGUUGGGCUGCGGGGGAUACUGUCCGGCUAGGGGGCGGGAGAGGCCGACGGUAUCCUCGGGGUAGGGGUGAAAUCCUAUAAUCCCGGGAGGACCACCAGUGGCGAAGGCUGUCGGCUAGAACGCGCUCGACGGUGAGGGAUGAAAGCUGGGGGAGCGAACCGGAUUAGAUACCCAGGUAGUCCCAGCUGUAAACGAUGCAGGCUAGGUGUUGGCGCGGCUACGUGCCGCUCCAGUGCCGCAGGGAAGCCGUUAAGCCUGCCGCCUGGGAAGUACGGCCGCAAGGCUGAAACUUAAAGGAAUUGGCGGGGGAGCACCACAAGGUGUGAAGCUUGCGGUUUAAUUGGAGUCAACGCCGGAAAUCUCACCGGGGGCGACAGCAGAAUGAAGGUCAGAUUGAAGGUCUUACCAGACAAGCUGAGAGGAAGUGCAUGGGCC
RNAcentral lists this ribosomal RNA (677 nucleotides) under uncultured crenarchaeote. RNAcentral's name for it is "bacterial SSU rRNA". It matches the Rfam family "Archaeal small subunit ribosomal RNA", at positions 321 to 1000 of the family's 1478-position model. Lineage: Archaea; Thermoproteati; Thermoproteota. The record is from RNAcentral.